CAGCAGCCGCGGUAAUACGUAGGUGGCAAGCGUUGUCCGGAAUUAUUGGGCGUAAAGGGCUCGCAGGCGGUUUCUUAAGUCUGAUGUGAAAGCCCCCGGCUCAACCGGGGAGGGUCAUUGGAAACUGGGAAACUUGAGUGCAGAAGAGGAGAGUGGAAUUCCACGUGUAGCGGUGAAAUGCGUAGAGAUGUGGAGGAACACCAGUGGCGAAGGCGACUCUCUGGUCUGUAACUGACGCUGAGGAGCGAAAGCGUGGGGAGCGAAUAGGAUUAGAUACCCCAGUAGUCCCUGUCUCUUAUAC
Molecule: ribosomal RNA, 301 nt
Filed under: uncultured bacterium
Lineage: Bacteria
Description: partial 16S ribosomal RNA
Rfam family: Bacterial small subunit ribosomal RNA
Source: RNAcentral